AGUGAACGCUGGCGGUAGGCCUAAUACAUGCAAGUCGAACGGCAGCACAGUAAGAGCUUGCUCUUACGGGUGGCGAGUGGCGGACGGGUGAGGAAUACAUCGGAAUCUACUUUUUCGUGGGGGAUAACGUAGGGAAACUUACGCUAAUACCGCAUACGACCUACGGGUGAAAGCAGGGGAUCUUCGGACCUUGCGCGAUUGAAUGAGCCGAUGUCGGAUUAGCUAGUUGGCGGGGUAAAGGCCCACCAAGGCGACGAUCCGUAGCUGGUCUGAGAGGAUGAUCAGCCACACUGGAACUGAGACACGGUCCAGACUCCUACGGGAGGCAGCAGUGGGGAAUAUUGGACAAUGGGCGCAAGCCUGAUCCAGCCAUACCGCGUGGGUGAAGAAGGCCUUCGGGUUGUAAAGCCCUUUUGUUGGGAAAGAAAAGCAGCAGGUUAAUACCCCGCUGUUCUGACGGUACCCAAAGAAUAAGCACCGGCUAACUUCGCG
RNAcentral lists this ribosomal RNA (492 nucleotides) under uncultured bacterium. Its description in RNAcentral is "partial 16S ribosomal RNA". It matches the Rfam family "Bacterial small subunit ribosomal RNA", at positions 29 to 507 of the family's 1533-position model. The record is from RNAcentral.